Molecule: ribosomal RNA, 506 nt
Filed under: uncultured bacterium
Lineage: Bacteria
Description: bacterial SSU rRNA
Rfam family: Bacterial small subunit ribosomal RNA
Source: RNAcentral
CCUAGCGGCGUGCCUAAUAAUGCAAGUCGAGCGAACGGACGAGAAGCUUGCUUCUCUGAUGUUAGCGGCGGACGGGUGAGUAACACGUGGAUAACCUACCUAUAAGACUGGGAUAACUUCGGGAAACCGGAGCUAAUACCGGAUAAUAUUUUGAACCGCAUGGUUCAAAAGUGAAAGACGGUCUUGCUGUCACUUAUAGAUGGAUCCGCGCUGCAUUAGCUAGUUGGUAAGGUAACGGCUUACCAAGGCAACGAUGCAUAGCCGACCUGAGAGGGUGAUCGGCCACACUGGAACUGAGACACGGUCCAGACUCCUACGGGAGGCAGCAGUAGGGAAUCUUCCGCAAUGGGCGAAAGCCCGACGGAGCAACGCCGCGUGAGUGAUGAAGGUCUUCGGAUCGUAAAACUCUGUUAUUAGGGAAGAACAUAUGUGUAAGUAACUGUGCACAUCUUGACGGUACCUAAUCAGAAAGCCACGGCUAACUACGUGCCAGCAGCCGCGGUAAU